AGGAAUGAAAUACAGUUUGGUUUUAAUGACACUUUUAAUUAGUUACGUUUUACGGAACUUCAGUGUGCACACGGAUAUGAAACUCAGUGACAUUAAGUUAAAAUUAGGUAUGUCAUUACACAAUACCGUGGGUUUUCCAAUAACCAUUCAAUCAAGAAAACAAUAGUAAUUUUGUACUUUAAUGAUGCCGAAAUGCUUUCCCGUUAAAUCAAUUUAAUAUUUAUAUAUAUACUUGAAUACUAAUACAAGUUACAAAUUAAAAUAUAACUAAAGUGUAUGUUUUUAUGAGUAUAAUUAUUAUUAUUGCAACUAAUUAUGUAGAAUAUUAUCGUGUAUGCAUUUUAAUUUUAAUUUUUAACCUCCCGUUAAGGGACUAUAACAAUUUUACCACAUUGCCUCGACCACGGAAACUAAGUGACAUUAAGUUUCAAAUAGAUGUAUCAUUACAUAUUAUCAAUGGUUUUCCCAAAACUAUUCAAUUAAGACAUAAAUCGUAUACUACAUGAAAUAUGAUUUUCAACUAUACCUCUCAUUUAUCAUUUAUUCAAAAAUCAGAAUUAAAACUAUAAUGAUUUCACGAUUUUAUAAACUAUUUUAAUUUUUGAACGAAUAGUUUUUGUCAUAUUACAAUUUAAGCCGGUUAAGAUAACGGGAGAUAAAGGACAGAUUAAGCACGAAAUCGGCGUUGAGCGGAAAGUGCACGGCAUCGUGAACAAAUUUAAUUUCUUUUCCUACUAAGUUAAAAUCUUUUAAAAAUAUUAUUAUUACAUUUAUGUAUACUAGACAAUUAUAAUUUACAUAGAAAAAUAAAUGGAAAUAUGUAUAUUUCGAGAUCAUUUUCUUUGUAAUUUUAUUUUAUUAAUAAGACCAGAGCAUACU
Molecule: non-coding RNA, 879 nt
Organism: Cinara cedri
Lineage: Eukaryota; Metazoa; Arthropoda; Insecta; Hemiptera; Aphididae
Source: the annotation of a GenBank genome assembly